Molecule: ribosomal RNA, 801 nt
Filed under: uncultured Verrucomicrobiota bacterium
Lineage: Bacteria; Pseudomonadati; Verrucomicrobiota
Description: bacterial SSU rRNA
Rfam family: Bacterial small subunit ribosomal RNA
Source: RNAcentral
UUUUUCGUUGUAGCAAUACGAUGGAAAGUCUAGCGGCGAACGGGUGCUUAACACGUGGGCAACCUGCCGUGAAGUGGGGGAUAGCUCGCCGAAAGGCGAAUUAAUACCGCAUGUGAUUAGAGAGGACAUCCUUUCGAAAUUAAAGUCGGGGCAACCUGACGCUUCUUGUGGGGCCCGCGGCCUAUCAGCUAGUUGGUGAGGUAACGGCUCACCAAGGCUUUGACGGGUAGCUGGUCUGAGAGGACGACCAGCCACACUGGGACUGAGACACGGCCCAGACACCUACGGGUGGCAGCAGUCGAGAAUUUUUGACAAUGGGGGAAACCCUGAUCGAGCGACGCCGCGUGGAGGAUGAAGGUCUUCGGAUUGUAAACUCCUGUCAUUGGGGAACAAGGUGCAUACGUUAACUGCGUGUGCAUUGAUAGUACCCGAAGAGGAAGAGACGGCUAACUCUGUGCCAGCAGCCGCGGUAAUACAGAGGUCUCAAGCGUUGUUCGGAUUCAUUGGGCGUAAAGGGUGCGUAGGCGGCGCGGUAAGUCGGGUGUGAAAUCUCGGAGCUUAACUCCGAAACUGCAUUCGAUACUGCCGUGCUUGAGGACUGGAGAGGAGACUGGAAUUUACGGUGUAGCGGUGAAAUGCGUAGAUAUCGUAAGGAAGACCAGUGGCGAAGGCGGGUCUCUGGACAGUUCCUGACGCUGAGGCACGAAGGCCAGGGGAGCAAACGGGAUUAGAUACCCCGGUAGUCCUGGCAGUAAACGGUGCACGUUUGGUGUGGGGAGGAUUCGACCCCUUCUGCGCCGG